UCCCUGGUAGUCCAGUGUCUUAGACUCUGUGUUCCCAAUGCAGGGGGCCUGGGUUCAAUCCCUGGUCAGGGAA
This 73-nucleotide transfer RNA is filed under the name Bos taurus (domestic cattle). It matches the Rfam family "tRNA". From Rfam's summary of the family: Transfer RNA (tRNA) molecules are approximately 80 nucleotides in length. Their secondary structure includes four short double-helical elements and three loops (D, anti-codon, and T loops). Lineage: Eukaryota; Metazoa; Chordata; Mammalia; Artiodactyla; Bovidae. RNAcentral also lists the same sequence under 1 other name. The record is from Rfam by way of RNAcentral.